This 71-nucleotide transfer RNA is filed under the name Camelus bactrianus (Bactrian camel). It matches the Rfam family "tRNA". From Rfam's summary of the family: Transfer RNA (tRNA) molecules are approximately 80 nucleotides in length. Their secondary structure includes four short double-helical elements and three loops (D, anti-codon, and T loops). Further hydrogen bonds mediate the characteristic L-shaped molecular structure. tRNAs have two regions of fundamental functional importance: the anti-codon, which is responsible for specific mRNA codon recognition, and the 3' end, to which the tRNAs corresponding amino acid is attached (by aminoacyl-tRNA synthetases). tRNAs cope with the degeneracy of the genetic code in two manners: having more than one tRNA (with a specific anti-codon) for a particular amino acid; and 'wobble' base-pairing, i.e. permitting non-standard base-pairing at the 3rd anti-codon position. The record is from Rfam by way of RNAcentral. RNAcentral also lists the same sequence under 2 other names. Lineage: Eukaryota; Metazoa; Chordata; Mammalia; Artiodactyla; Camelidae.
GAGAGUAUAGCUCAGGGGUAGAGUAUAUGCCUAGCAGGCACAAGGUCCUGGGUUCAACCCCAGUACCUCCA